Non-coding RNA from Nelumbo nucifera (sacred lotus), 524 nucleotides. NCBI's taxonomy places the organism in Eukaryota, Viridiplantae, Streptophyta, Magnoliopsida, Proteales, Nelumbonaceae. The record is from RefSeq and is a predicted model, not a curated record.
UAAUUGACGUGUAUGCUUGUUUACGUAAAGAAAAAGAAAUAAGAAAUGGACGGACCAGCAUCAUAGAAAUAAUUUUGGCAUGCUUUGUACGCCGCAUCAAGUGACCAUAAUUUUCUGAAUUUUGACAUUUAUUACUUACUAAAUAUGAAAAAAGAAUGUCGGAAUGGAGAUGUCAAAGCUCUUCCUCUCCCUCCCUUUUGACAUUUAAUUCUCCGCUUCCGGUACUCUCAUCUCACUGGAAACCAGCCGUAUAUGCCUACCUAGACCCCAGAAAAUGGUGAAUUCAUCGAAGCAUCAUGGAUUUUGUUUUGCUUGAGCUUUUGGUUCGCAUUUCUGAAGUUGUGCUUUCAGAGUUGUUGGUGGUAGAUCUGUUUCAAUGAUCAUCUAUGACAAGGUGAUGUCGCAUUCUGACCUUAUUGUUCAGUUUAAUUUGUAAAGUUUUGAGCAAUGCCAAUAUCAAUCUAAUGUGUUUUUCACUUCUGUACACUUAAUAGUUCGACUUCGACAGAUACUUGAGAUUUGAA